GGCGUGCGCGAGAGCGCGGAAUACCGGAAUCAUAAUCCUGGGGUCGGGGGUUCGAGUCCCUCCCCCGCUACCA
This 73-nucleotide transfer RNA is filed under the name Bradyrhizobium elkanii. Its description in RNAcentral is "tRNA-Ser". The record is from RNAcentral. Lineage: Bacteria; Pseudomonadati; Pseudomonadota; Alphaproteobacteria; Hyphomicrobiales; Nitrobacteraceae.